This 279-nucleotide long non-coding RNA is filed under the name Gallus gallus (chicken). The record is from RNAcentral. Lineage: Eukaryota; Metazoa; Chordata; Aves; Galliformes; Phasianidae.
GGACCCUCAGCCGGGGCAGGUUUUUGAGGUAGAAGAGCUCAUUCAGGCUUGCUAUGUUGUUCUUCCUCAAGUAGAGCUCACUCAGAUUCUGGCACUGGUUCAGCGGCUCAAGGUCUGAGAUGCCAUUCAGGCUGAAUGUGAUCACCUCAACGUUGGGCAGAUCCCGGCAUAUUGAUAUAUCAGUGAGGUGGCUGCCCCAGCAGUUCAGCCGCCGGACCCCAUCGAGCGCGACGGCCUUGGCCCGCGCCAGCACGGCCGCCCGGCUCAGCCUCAUGGCCG